UCGGGGUAUUCCACAAAAAAUUACCCUGCGGGAUGAAAUAUUCCUCGGGCUUCGCCCUCGCCCUCGGAAUAUUUCAUCCCUCAGGGUAAUUUUUUGUGGAAUACCCCU
This is a non-coding RNA of Paramuricea clavata, 108 nucleotides long. Lineage: Eukaryota; Metazoa; Cnidaria; Anthozoa; Malacalcyonacea; Plexauridae. The record is from the annotation of a GenBank genome assembly.